Trichonephila clavipes is the source of this 1004-nucleotide non-coding RNA. The record is from the annotation of a GenBank genome assembly. Lineage: Eukaryota; Metazoa; Arthropoda; Arachnida; Araneae; Nephilidae.
ACCUGGUUGAUCCUGCCAGUAGCAUAUGCUUGUCUCAAAGAUUAAGCCAUGCACGUCUCAGUACAUGCCGCUAAUAUAAAAGGCGAAACCGCAAAUGGCUCAUUAAAUCAGUCACGGUUCAUUGGAUCGUAACGCGUUACUUGGAUAACUGUAGUAAUUCUAGAGCUAAUACAUGCAGCCGAGCUCCGAGAGCCCUCUCGGGGCAGGACGAGCGCUUUUAUUAGAUUCUUCCCCACGGUCUCCGGACCGUCGAAGUGACCGAAGCUGAGUAACUUUGCAGAUCGCACGGGCCCGCCCCGGCGACGCAUCCUUCAAGUGUCUGCCUUAUCAACUGUCGACGGUAGGUUAUUCGCCUACCGUGGUCGCCACGGGUGACGGGGAAUCAGGGUUCGAUUCCGGAGAGGGAGCCUGAGAAACGGCUACCACAUCUAAGGAAGGCAGCAGGCACGCAAAUUACCCAAUCCCGGCUCGGGGAGGUAGUGACGAAAAAUAACGACGCUGGACUCUACGAGACCCAGUCGUCGGAAUGAGUGCGCUCUAAACCCUCGACGCGAGGACCCACCGGAGGGCAAGACUAAUGCCAGCCGCUGCGGUAAUUUUAGCUCCGGUAGCGUAUACUAAAUUUGUUGCAGUUAAAAAGCUCGUAGUUGGAUUCCUGCUCUGGACGUAGGGGGCCGCUAACGCGGUCCACCAUGCGCACCCGGCAUUCUGCCCGCCGCUCCCGAGAUCGUUGUCAAAGGCGGCUCGGGGUGGAUGGCGGAGAUCGCUUUGCAAAAAUUAGAGUGCUCUAGGCGGGCCACUAAGCUCGAAUAGUAAUGCACGGUACGAUGAAACAUGACUUUGGCUCUUAUUCGGUUGGGGCACGGAGACCGAGGUAAUGAUUAAUAGGAGCAGACGGGGGCAUUCGUAUUCCGACGCUAGAGGUGAAAUUCUUGGACCGUCGGAAGACGCACCACUGCGAAAGCAUUUGCCAAGAAUGUUUCCGUUGACCAAGAACGAAAGUG